CAGCUGUAAACUAUGUGCGUUAGGUGUGUCAGUGACCACGUGUCACUGAGGUGCCGAAGGGAAACCGUGAAACGCACCGCCUGGGGAGUACGGUCGCAAGGCUGAAACUUAAAGGAAUUGGCGGGGGAGCACUACAACGGGUGGAGCCUGCGGUUUAAUUGGAUUCAACGCCGGAAAUCUUACCGGGACCGACAGCAACAUGAAGGCCAGGCUGAAGACUUUGCCGGAUUAGCUGAGAGGAGGUGCAUGGCGUAGUCGUGU
This 261-nucleotide ribosomal RNA is filed under the name uncultured archaeon. Its description in RNAcentral is "partial 16S ribosomal RNA". It matches the Rfam family "Archaeal small subunit ribosomal RNA", at positions 748 to 1009 of the family's 1478-position model. The record is from RNAcentral.